UGGGGAGUCGUCUAACGGUAGGACACCUGACUCUGGAUCAGGCAGUUGGGGUUCGAAUCCCUGCUCCCCAGCCG
RNAcentral lists this transfer RNA (74 nucleotides) under Chloroflexota bacterium. RNAcentral describes it as "Chloroflexi bacterium tRNA-Gln". It matches the Rfam family "tRNA". From Rfam's summary of the family: Transfer RNA (tRNA) molecules are approximately 80 nucleotides in length. Their secondary structure includes four short double-helical elements and three loops (D, anti-codon, and T loops). Lineage: Bacteria; Bacillati; Chloroflexota. The record is from RNAcentral.